GGGUUGUGAGGUUAAGCGACUAAGCGUACACGGUGGAUGCCCUGGCAGUCAGAGGCGAUGAAGGACGUGCUAAUCUGCGAUAAGCGCCGGUAAGGUGAUAUGAACCGUUAUAACCGGCGAUUUCCGAAUGGGGAAACCCAGUGUGAUUCGUCACACUAUCAUUAACUGAAUCCAUAGGUUAAUGAGGCGAACCGGGGGAACUGAAACAUCUAAGUACCCCGAGGAAAAGAAAUCAACCGAGAUUCCCCCAGUAGCGGCGAGCGAACGGGGAGGAGCCCAGAGCCUGAAUCAGCAUGUGUGUUAGUGGAAGCGUCUGGAAAGGUGCGCGAUACAGGGUGACAGCCCCGUACACAAAAGCGCAUGUGCUGUGAGCUCGAUGAGUAGGGCGGGACACGUGGUAUCCUGUCUGAAUAUGGGGGGACCAUCCUCCAAGGCUAAAUACUCCUGACUGACCGAUAGUGAACCAGUACCGUGAGGGAAAGGCGAAAAGAACCCCGGCGAGGGGAGUGAAAAAGAACCUGAAACCGUGUACGUACAAGCAGUGGGAGCACCCUUCGGGGUGUGACUGCGUACCUUUUGUAUAAUGGGUCAGCGACUUAUAUUCUGUAGCAAGGUUAACCGUAUAGGGGAGCCGGAGGGAAACCGAGUCUUAACCGGGCGUUAAGUUGCAGGGUAUAGACCCGAAACCCGGUGAUCUAGCCAUGGGCAGGUUGAAGGUUGGGUAACACUAACUGGAGGACCGAACCGACUAAUGUUGAAAAAUUAGCGGAUGACCUGUGGCUGGGGGUGAAAGGCCAAUCAAACCGGGAGAUAGCUGGUUCUCCCCGAAAGCUAUUUAGGUAGCGCCUCGUGAAUUCAUCUCCGGGGGUAGAGCACUGUUUCGGCUAGGGGGCCAUCCCGGCUUACCAACCCGAUGCAAACUGCGAAUACCGGAGAAUGUUAUCACGGGAGACACACGGCGGGUGCUAACGUCCGUCGUGAAGAGGGAAACAACCCAGACCGCCAGCUAAGGUCCCAAAGUCAUGGUUAAGUGGGAAACGAUGUGGGAAGGCCCAGACAGCCAGGAUGUUGGCUUAGAAGCAGCCAUCAUUUAAAGAAAGCGUAAUAGCUCACUGGUCGAGUCGGCCUGCGCGGAAGAUGUAACGGGGCUAAACCAUGCACCGAAGCUGCGGCAGCGAACGUAUCACCCAAGACAACUUUACGGAGUUGACGAUUGACGGAGCGAAGCGACGUCAAAGCGUUCAUUAAAGUCGAGUUGGCUUAGGGAUACGUUCGUUGGGUAGGGGAGCGUUCUGUAAGCCUGUGAAGGUGUGUCGUGAGGCAUGCUGGAGGUAUCAGAAGUGCGAAUGCUGACAUAAGUAACGAUAAAGCGGGUGAAAAGCCCGCUCGCCGGAAGACCAAGGGUUCCUGUCCAACGUUAAUCGGGGCAGGGUGAGUCGACCCCUAAGGCGAGGCCGAAAGGCGUAGUCGAUGGGAAACGGGUUAAUAUUCCCGUACUUGGUGUUACUGCGAAGGGGGGACGGAGAAGGCUAUGUUGGCCGGGCGACGGUUGUCCCGGUUUAAGCGUGUAGGUGUGUGUUCCAGGUAAAUCCGGUUCACUUUAACACUGAGGCGUGACGACGAGGCACUACGGUGCUGAAGCAACAAAUGCCCUGCUUCCAGGAAAAGCCUCUAAGCAUCAGGUAACACGAAAUCGUACCCCAAACCGACACAGGUGGUCAGGUAGAGAAUACCAAGGCGCUUGAGAGAACUCGGGUGAAGGAACUAGGCAAAAUGGUGCCGUAACUUCGGGAGAAGGCACGCUGACACGUAGGUGAAGUGAUUUACUCAUGGAGCUGAAGUCAGUCGAAGAUACCAGCUGGCUGCAACUGUUUAUUAAAAACACAGCACUGUGCAAACACGAAAGUGGACGUAUACGGUGUGACGCCUGCCCGGUGCCGGAAGGUUAAUUGAUGGGGUCAGCGUAAGCGAAGCUCCUGAUCGAAGCCCCGGUAAACGGCGGCCGUAACUAUAACGGUCCUAAGGUAGCGAAAUUCCUUGUCGGGUAAGUUCCGACCUGCACGAAUGGCGUAAUGAUGGCCAGGCUGUCUCCACCCGAGACUCAGUGAAAUUGAACUCGCUGUGAAGAUGCAGUGUACCCGCGGCAAGACGGAAAGACCCCGUGAACCUUUACUAUAGCUUGACACUGAACAUUGAGCCUUGAUGUGUAGGAUAGGUGGGAGGCUUUGAAGUGUGGACGCCAGUCUGCAUGGAGCCGACCUUGAAAUACCACCCUUUAAUGUUUGAUGUUCUAACGUGGACCCGUAAUCCGGGUUGCGGACAGUGUCUGGUGGGUAGUUUGACUGGGGCGGUCUCCUCCUAAAGAGUAACGGAGGAGCACGAAGGUUGGCUAAUCCUGGUCGGACAUCAGGAGGUUAGUGCAAUGGCAUAAGCCAGCUUGACUGCGAGCGUGACGGCGCGAGCAGGUGCGAAAGCAGGUCAUAGUGAUCCGGUGGUUCUGAAUGGAAGGGCCAUCGCUCAACGGAUAAAAGGUACUCCGGGGAUAACAGGCUGAUACCGCCCAAGAGUUCAUAUCGACGGCGGUGUUUGGCACCUCGAUGUCGGCUCAUCACAUCCUGGGGCUGAAGUAGGUCCCAAGGGUAUGGCUGUUCGCCAUUUAAAGUGGUACGCGAGCUGGGUUUAGAACGUCGUGAGACAGUUCGGUCCCUAUCUGCCGUGGGCGCUGGAGAACUGAGGGGGGCUGCUCCUAGUACGAGAGGACCGGAGUGGACGCAUCACUGGUGUUCGGGUUGUCAUGCCAAUGGCACUGCCCGGUAGCUAAAUGCGGAAGAGAUAAGUGCUGAAAGCAUCUAAGCACGAAACUUGCCCCGAGAUGAGUUCUCCCUGAGACUUAGAGUCUCCUGAAGGAACGUUGAAGACGACGACGUUGAUAGGCCGGGUGUGUAAGCGCAGCGAUGCGUUGAGCUAACCGGUACUAAUGAACCGUGAGGCUUAACCUUACAACGCCGAAG
Molecule: ribosomal RNA, 3011 nt
Filed under: Salmonella enterica subsp. enterica serovar Typhimurium
Lineage: Bacteria; Pseudomonadati; Pseudomonadota; Gammaproteobacteria; Enterobacterales; Enterobacteriaceae
Description: bacterial LSU rRNA
Rfam family: Bacterial large subunit ribosomal RNA
Source: RNAcentral